UGUGGGAGCGGGCUUGCUCGCGAUGGUAUCAACGCGGUGUUAAUGGAUGACCGUGGCGCCAGUAUCGCGAGCAAGCCCGCUCCCACA
RNAcentral lists this unclassified non-coding RNA (87 nucleotides) under Pseudomonas fragi. The record is from RNAcentral. Lineage: Bacteria; Pseudomonadati; Pseudomonadota; Gammaproteobacteria; Pseudomonadales; Pseudomonadaceae.